RNAcentral lists this ribosomal RNA (465 nucleotides) under uncultured bacterium. RNAcentral describes it as "partial 16S ribosomal RNA". It matches the Rfam family "Bacterial small subunit ribosomal RNA", at positions 28 to 507 of the family's 1533-position model. The record is from RNAcentral.
GACGAACGCUGGCGGCGUGCUUAACACAUGCAAGUCGUACGUUAAGGCCCUUUCGGGGGUACACGAGUGGCUAACGGGUUAGUAACACGUGAGUAACCUGCCCACAACUUUGGGAUAACGCUAGGAAACUGGUGCUAAUACUGGAUAUGUGCUCCUGCUGCAUGGUGGGGGUUGGAAAUCUCCGGCGGUUGUGGAUGGACUCGCGGCCGAUCAGCUUGUUGGUGGGGUAGUGGCCUACCAAGGCGGCGACGGGUAGCCGGCCGGAGAGGGUGACCGGCCACAUUGGGACUGAGAUACGGCCCAGACUCCUACGGGAGGCAGCAGUGGGGAAUAUUGCACAAUGGGCGAAAGCCGGAUGCAGCAAAGCCGCGUGCGGGAUGAAGGCCUUCGGGUUGUAAACCGCUUUCAGCAGGGACGAAGCUUUUUGUGACGGUACCUGCAGAAGAAGCACCGGCUAACUACGUG